GCUGGGGUGGCGGAAUUGGCAGACGCACAGGACUUAAAAUCCUGCGGUAGGUGACUACUGUGUCGGUUCGAGCCCGACCCUCAGCACCA
RNAcentral lists this transfer RNA (89 nucleotides) under Polycladospora coralii. RNAcentral describes it as "tRNA-Leu". It matches the Rfam family "tRNA". From Rfam's summary of the family: Transfer RNA (tRNA) molecules are approximately 80 nucleotides in length. Their secondary structure includes four short double-helical elements and three loops (D, anti-codon, and T loops). Lineage: Bacteria; Bacillati; Bacillota; Bacilli; Caryophanales; Thermoactinomycetaceae. The record is from RNAcentral.